This is a long non-coding RNA of Salarias fasciatus (jewelled blenny), 102 nucleotides long. RefSeq lists it as uncharacterized. The transcript is spliced from 3 exons. Lineage: Eukaryota; Metazoa; Chordata; Actinopteri; Blenniiformes; Blenniidae. The record is from RefSeq and is a predicted model, not a curated record.
ACCUGGAGAAACAUCCAGGAGCGCAACAAACAGUUAGAAGCAUCUUGCUCCACAGAAAUCCACACGGGAUUCAAACUACAGGCACAGUUACACUCAUUUCAU